RNAcentral lists this transfer RNA (87 nucleotides) under Patescibacteria group bacterium. RNAcentral's name for it is "tRNA-Leu". It matches the Rfam family "tRNA". From Rfam's summary of the family: Transfer RNA (tRNA) molecules are approximately 80 nucleotides in length. Their secondary structure includes four short double-helical elements and three loops (D, anti-codon, and T loops). The record is from RNAcentral.
GCCCGGGUGGCGAAACUGGAAGACGCAUAUCCUUGAGGUGGAUACGGCCGCAAGGCCUUGGAGGUUCGAGUCCUCUCCCGGGCACCA